RNAcentral lists this ribosomal RNA (211 nucleotides) under Diaziella sp. D2058. RNAcentral's name for it is "partial 28S ribosomal RNA". It matches the Rfam family "Eukaryotic large subunit ribosomal RNA", at positions 967 to 1163 of the family's 3401-position model. Lineage: Eukaryota; Metazoa; Arthropoda; Insecta; Hymenoptera; Pteromalidae. The record is from RNAcentral.
UUUCCCUCAGGAUAGCUGGCACUCGCUUGAGCGAGUCUCAUCUGGUAAAGCGAAUGAUUAGAGGCCUUGGGGCCGAAACGACCUCAACCUAUUCUCAAACUUUAAAUGGGUGAGAUCUCUGGCUUGCUUGAACGUUGAAGCCACGAGAUUAAUGAAAUGGAUCAGAGUGCCAAGUGGGCCAAUUUUGGUAAGCAGAACUGGCGCUGUGGGA